Molecule: ribosomal RNA, 465 nt
Filed under: uncultured bacterium
Lineage: Bacteria
Description: partial 16S ribosomal RNA
Rfam family: Bacterial small subunit ribosomal RNA
Source: RNAcentral
GACGAGCGCUGGCGGCGUGCUUAACACAUGCAAGUCGAACGGAAAGGCCCUGCUUGCAGGGUCCUCGAGUGGCGAACGGGUGAGUAACACGUGGGUGAUCUGCCCUGCACUUCGGGAUAAGCCUGGGAAACUGGGUCUAAUACCGGAUAGGAGCCAUUUUUAGUGUGAUGGUUGGAAAGUUUUUUCGGUGUAGGAUGAGCUCGCGGCCUAUCAGCUUGUUGGUGGGGUAAUGGCCUACCAAGGCGGCGACGGGUAGCCGGCCUGAGAGGGUGGACGGCCACAUUGGGACUGAGAUACGGCCCAGACUCCUACGGGAGGCAGCAGUGGGGAAUAUUGCACAAUGGGCGCAAGCCUGAUGCAGCGACGCCGCGUGGGGGAUGACGGCCUUCGGGUUGUAAACUCCUUUCGCUAGGGACGAAGCUUUUUGUGACGGUACCUAGAUAAGAAGCACCGGCUAACUACGUG